AUGGCUGCCGUCCUGCUCGGCUCCGCGCUGCGCCGCCCCGCCUCCCGCCCGCGACGCCGGCGCGGGCCAAUGAACGCCAAGGCAGGGGGCGGGGCCAGAGCCACAGACCUUCCCCCCGAAGGGGGGCGUAGCCUGGAACAGUUCAUCGAGUGCCAGGGAGCCCUGCCCGAGGACAUGGCGUGCAAGAUGUUCCACCAACUCUCCUCGGCCAUUAAGUACUGCCAUGACCUGGACAUCGUGCACCAGAACCUCAAGUGUUAGAACCUUCUCCUCCACAAGGAUUUCAACAUCAAGCUGUUCUACUUCAGGUUCUCCAAGCUCUGCCUGCGGGAUGACAAUGGCCAACAGAGAUUAAGCAAGACCUUCUGUGGGUCGGUGGCAUAUGCAGCCUCUGAGGUGCAGCAGGCAUCCCCUACCAGCCCAAGGUGUAUGACAUCUGGAGCCUGGGCGUGAUCCUCUACAUCAUGGUCUGCAGCUCCAUGCCCUAGGACGACUCCAACAUCAGGAAGAUGCUGUGUACCCAGAAGGAGCACCACGUGGACUUCCCACACUCCAAGAACCUGACAGAUGAGUGCAAGGACCUCAUCUAGUGCAUGCUGCAGCCCAACAUCAGCCAGCAGCUCCACAUCCAUGACAUUCUCAGCCAAUGCUGGGUGCAGCCCAAGGCACAGGGACUGCCCUCUAUGGUCAUCAACAAGGAGGGGGAAAGCUCCCGGGGAACUGAACUCUUGUGGACCCCUGAACCUGGCUCUGCCAAGAGGUCUGCCACCAAGCUGGAGUCUGGGGAAGAGGCACAGCCCAAGAGACAACCUGAGACAAAACCUGAGGGGUUGGCAAUGCAAAUGUCCAGGCAGUCGGACGUCCUAGGCUUCCCCAGCAAGCCAUCAACCAGGGAGAAAGAGGAAGGGCCCCCCCAAAGGCCUCCAGAGAUUCGCAUCUAGUGAGCAUUUGUGGCCCAGUAUGCCAGCAGUGAAUGAGAUGGAGCUCACACCUUCAGGCCCAAGCUCUGAAGAAGUCAAGGCACAAACCAGAGAAGGAAGACAGUCCCGGAUGAGCCGCGGUUUUCAUCAGUUUCUUCUCUCUCCCCUUGAACUUCAUAACCACAUUGCUAAAGGAGCAAUAAAUCACUAUAUUA
Cercocebus atys (sooty mangabey) is the source of this 1135-nucleotide RNA transcript. It is a transcript of the gene named testis-specific serine/threonine-protein kinase 1-like, with no coding region annotated. The transcript is spliced from 3 exons. The record is from RefSeq and is a predicted model, not a curated record. NCBI's taxonomy places the organism in Eukaryota, Metazoa, Chordata, Mammalia, Primates, Cercopithecidae.